GAUCAUUGGUCCCUAAAUCAUAACAUAAUGAAAGAGCAUGAAACCAAAAGGAUCAUUGGUGAGACAAUAAUACAUUUUUACAGUACUGCAUGGUGAGACAAUAAAGGGCCCCAAAGAAAUAGAAAGGGGUAGUUUGCAGAUUAAACCAACAUAGCAGCUACUGGCUCAAUAAUGUUGAUCUGAGGAUGUUGGGCACACUGAACACAGCACGGUAUGUUUUAAUAUACACAAGGCAACUUGAUUUGAUAAUUAUUAAUGAUACAAGUUUGGAGACCAGGGUGAAAGCAAAAGUAAAAAUACCUUGAUAAGAACAAAAGCUCUUGCAUCUCUCGUAGAUCCCGAAUCUUGAAUUUUGCUCCUACUCAAGAUGGAUUGCAAACUAAAAAAAUCAGACCUCAAAUAGGUAUUAACCAAUAUUUAAUUUAUAGGUUGAUGUGCAUACAACAACAAAAUAUGGAAGGGAAUAGUACCACUUCAUUUGGAAGAAUAUUAUUCAAUUUCUUACAUUGAGUGAUAACGUGUGAUGUUUGUUCAAUUCUUCCUAAAUCAAAAAAUAAUGAAAGAGAUUAAAUCAAAGGGUAUGGACAAACAAAUUAGAGAGCAAAACUGUUACAUACUCGAUAGUCAGACAAUAAAAAAAUCAUAAGGAAAUAGAAUGGAAAGUAACAUUAGGAGUUUAAGACUGAACAAAUGUAGCAGCUAUUGGCUCAAAACAGACCAGAUGAUCUUGAGCAUACUAGACAUCGAAUGUUAUUGUAAUAUAUAGGAGAAAACAUGCCAUACAAUUAUUCAUGAUAAAUUUUGGAAGGGUGAAAGCACAAGUAAAAAACCUUAUGCACCGUCUGUACCAACACAAGACAAAAAAAUAGUUUAUGUAUAGAACCUGCUAAUGUCUUUUUCAUGAUUCUUAUUUACUGCUCGAUCUUGAGAAAAUUAACUGAGAAACCAAUGUUCGCUGUUACUUCUUACUCUAGUUUCAACUUCCGGUUACAUGUUGAUACACAAAAUACAAAUAUUGGAAGGGGUGACCCACAAUUACAAAACCAGAAAAGAAGAUAUGCAGA
Molecule: long non-coding RNA, 1064 nt
Filed under: Triticum aestivum (bread wheat)
Lineage: Eukaryota; Viridiplantae; Streptophyta; Magnoliopsida; Poales; Poaceae
Description: long non-coding RNA (TAES_LNC025088)
Source: RNAcentral